CCUACGGGCGGCAGCAGUGGGGAAUAUUGGACAAUGGGGGCAACCCUGAUCCAGCCAUGCCGCGUGUGUGAAGGAGGCCCUCGGGUUGUAAAGCACUUUCAGUGAGGAAGAACGCCUGGUGGUUAAUACCCAUCAGGAAAGACAUCACUCACAGAAGAAGCACCGGCUAACUCCGUGCCAGCAGCCGCGGUAAUACGGAGGGUGCGAGCGUUAAUCGGAAUUACUGGGCGUAAAGCGCGCGUAGGUGGCUUGAUAAGCCGGUUGUGAAAGCCCCGGGCUCAACCUGGGAACGGCAUCCGGAACUGUCAAGCUAGAGUGCAGGAGAGGAAGGUAGAAUUCCCGGUGUAGCGGUGAAAUGCGUAGAGAUCGGGAGGAAUACCAGUGGCGAAGGCGGCCUUCUGGACUGACACUGACACUGAGGUGCGAAAGCGUGGGUAGCAAACAGGAUUAGAUACCCUUGUAGUC
This 465-nucleotide ribosomal RNA is filed under the name Vreelandella stevensii. RNAcentral describes it as "partial 16S ribosomal RNA". It matches the Rfam family "Bacterial small subunit ribosomal RNA", at positions 338 to 795 of the family's 1533-position model. Lineage: Bacteria; Pseudomonadati; Pseudomonadota; Gammaproteobacteria; Oceanospirillales; Halomonadaceae. The record is from RNAcentral.